Molecule: microRNA precursor, 78 nt
Filed under: Mus musculus (house mouse)
Lineage: Eukaryota; Metazoa; Chordata; Mammalia; Rodentia; Muridae
Description: mir-3473 microRNA precursor family
Rfam family: mir-3473 microRNA precursor family
Source: Rfam by way of RNAcentral
ACCGCUGAGCCAUCUCACCAGCCCAUUUUUUGUUUUUUAAGAUUUAUUUAUCUAGGGCUGGAGAGAUGGCUCAGUGAU